AGUGAACGCUGGCGGUAGGCCUAACACAUGCAAGUCGAACGGCAGCACAGUAAGAGCUUGCUCUUACGGGUGGCGAGUGGCGGACGGGUGAGGAAUACAUCGGAAUCUACUUUUUCGUGGGGGAUAACGUAGGGAAACUUACGCUAAUACCGCAUACGACCUACGGGUGAAAGCAGGGGAUCUUCGGACCUUGCGCGAUUGAAUGAGCCGAUGUCGGAUUAGCUAGUUGGCGGGGUAAAGGCCCACCAAGGCGACGAUCCGUAGCUGGUCUGAGAGGAUGAGCAGCCACACUGGAACUGAGACACGGUCCAGACUCCUACGGGAGGCAGCAGUGGGGAAUAUUGGACAAAGGGCGCAAGCCUGAUCCAGCCAUACCGCGUGGGUGAAGAAGGCCUUCGGGUUGUAAAGCCCUUUUGUUGGGAAAGAAAAGCAGCAGGUUAAUACCCCACUGUUCUGACGGUACCCAAAGAAUAAGCACCGGCUAACUUCGUG
RNAcentral lists this ribosomal RNA (492 nucleotides) under uncultured bacterium. RNAcentral describes it as "partial 16S ribosomal RNA". It matches the Rfam family "Bacterial small subunit ribosomal RNA", at positions 29 to 507 of the family's 1533-position model. The record is from RNAcentral.